This 596-nucleotide long non-coding RNA is filed under the name Coffea arabica (coffee). Its description in RNAcentral is "long non-coding RNA (CARA_LNC006879)". The record is from RNAcentral. Lineage: Eukaryota; Viridiplantae; Streptophyta; Magnoliopsida; Gentianales; Rubiaceae.
UUUUUUAUUAUUUAUUUAUUUGUUUUCGUUCUUAUUAUUAUUGCAUGGUUCUGUCAUUUUAUUUUAUUAUUAUUAUCAUUUAUAUGCAUUCUUUUUAUAAAAAAAAAAAAAAAAAAGAGAUUACCGCAGCGUGCACGCUGCAUUUUUUUUUUUUUGCAGCGUGCGAGGCACAACCUCAAUGCCCAUCGGAUGGCUAAGAUAAGGGGCUGAGAGGAGGUUGAUUGCUGGCCAUUGAGAGCAGGUUUAGGGGAUUGGGAGAUGGUACAAAAAGGAAAGAAGACAUCAGCCGCAAGGAGAGCUUCAUCGUGGGGAGAGUUUUGCAGCUAACGGGAGCGAAAAAAAAAAAACGGGAACAAAACUGGACAGAGGGGAGAGCAAGGGGAGAGCUGAGGCUUCGGUGGGCUAAGGAAAGAAACCAGAAAAACGGAGAGGAGGAGCUUUGAGAGGAAAAAGAAAAGAAAGGGCAAGGUGGCGGCUGAAGCCAAUAGAUGUAGAAAGAAAGAGAUUGACGGCGUGGGUUCUGGAAGAAGGAAGAAGGAAAGCAGAGAGAGGAAAAGCUUGGGGAAGGAAUCGUGAUAAGCAAGGAGGAAAUGAGC